This is a microRNA precursor of Chlorocebus sabaeus (green monkey), 95 nucleotides long. NCBI's taxonomy places the organism in Eukaryota, Metazoa, Chordata, Mammalia, Primates, Cercopithecidae. The record is from Ensembl.
CAGUGUUGGGUCUCAGGAAGCAGUGCUCUCAGGACAUCUCCACCAUGGCCUGGGCUCUGCUCCUCCUCCCCCUCUUCACUCAGGACACAGGUGAU